Molecule: ribosomal RNA, 498 nt
Filed under: uncultured bacterium
Lineage: Bacteria
Description: partial 16S ribosomal RNA
Rfam family: Bacterial small subunit ribosomal RNA
Source: RNAcentral
ACUCAAAUGAAUUGACGGGGGCCCGCACAAGCGGUGGAGCAUGUGGUUCAAUUCGACGCAACGCGAAGAACCUUACCCAGACUUGACAUGUACUGGACUGGUGUGGAAACACAUCUUCCCUUCGGGGCCAGUGCACAGGUGCUGCAUGGCUGUCGUCAGCUCGUGUCGUGAGAUGUUGGGUUAAGUCCCGCAACGAGCGCAACCCUUGUCCUUAGUUGCUAACGAGUCAAGUCGAGCACUCUAAGGAGACUGCCGGUGGCAAACCGGAGGAAGGUGGGGAUGACGUCAAGUCCUCAUGGCCCUUACGUCUGGGGCUACACACGUGCUACAAUGGCCGGUACAAAGGGCUGCGAUACCGCGAGGUGGAGCCAAUCCCAAAAAACCGGUCUCAGUUCGGAUUGCAGUCUGCAACUCGACUGCAUGAAGUCGGAAUCGCUAGUAAUCGCUGAUCAGCAGGCAGCGGUGAAUACGUUCCCGGGCCUUGUACACACCGCCCGU